CACCGCGGUUAAACGAGGGGCCCAAGUUGACAGACAACGGCGUAAAGAGUGGUUAGGGACUACAACAAACUAAAGCUGAAGGCUCUCGCAACUGUUAUACGUAUUCGAGAGUCCGAAACCCAACUACGAAAGUGGCUUUACAAAACCUGAUCCCACGAAAGCUAAGAAA
This 169-nucleotide ribosomal RNA is filed under the name Zeugopterus regius. RNAcentral's name for it is "partial small subunit ribosomal RNA". The record is from RNAcentral. Lineage: Eukaryota; Metazoa; Chordata; Actinopteri; Pleuronectiformes; Scophthalmidae.